UUGUCCGGAGUGGGUGACAGAUUUACGGGCUGCUCGGACGACGAAAUCAAGAACCCCAUUCUUACAAUUGUCAUCUUGAAAAGAUUUCUUAUUGCUUUAUUUUUCGCAUCUGAACGGGAAUUUAGAAACGACAUUUACAACCUAGAAAGCUUCGUUUUAAUCUCAGGUGUGAGUGGACAGCUGUUUGUACAGCUUCGGUUAUAUCGCUCGCUUUCUAGUUUGUCCCGUCGCCGUAGUAGAUCUCGAUACAACGUAUUUGUUUUGAAGAAGUGUAAAACACACGAAAAAGACACACGUCGCGUUGAAAGGACAAGAAGCAGGUCGAGGAACAGUCGAAGUGAAGAUGGCAUCCUUUCUGGACGAUUAAAUGUUAACUUUGUUAAACUGCGGCAUGUGCGCGCCGAUGAAAGAGUCACAGAAAUCUGCGAAGUCCAAGUUUGAUCGACGGACGGACUUUUCAUAGAAACACACGCAUUUACUUUUAACUUUGGUGGCACCGGAACAGGAAGAUGAAGUAAGCAAACUGGUGACCUCGCUUUCCCUGCGCUCCGGUCUGUGACCUCCGGCUUCCCAGCUCUUGUCCCAGAACAUCCAGAUGUCCCAGGAACACGCUUCCUCCUGGGAGGACCCCAGAUGAAGUUCUCUGGCGGGUGGUAGUGGCGCUG
Long non-coding RNA from Triplophysa dalaica, 665 nucleotides. RefSeq lists it as uncharacterized. NCBI's taxonomy places the organism in Eukaryota, Metazoa, Chordata, Actinopteri, Cypriniformes, Nemacheilidae. The transcript has 3 exons. The record is from RefSeq and is a predicted model, not a curated record.